RNAcentral lists this ribosomal RNA (481 nucleotides) under uncultured bacterium. Its description in RNAcentral is "partial 16S ribosomal RNA". It matches the Rfam family "Bacterial small subunit ribosomal RNA", at positions 28 to 507 of the family's 1533-position model. The record is from RNAcentral.
GAUGAACGCUGGCGGCGUGCUUAACACAUGCAAGUCGAACGAAGCACUUUAUUUGAUUUCCUUCGGGACUGAUUAUUUUGUGACUGAGUGGCGGACGGGUGAGUAACGCGUGGGUAACCUGCCUUGUACAGGGGGAUAACAGUUGGAAACGGCUGCUAAUACCGCAUAAGCGCACGGCAUCGCAUGAUGCAGUGUGAAAAACUCCGGUGGUAUAAGAUGGACCCGCGUUGGAUUAGCUAGUUGGUGAGGUAACGGCCCACCAAGGCGACGAUCCAUAGCCGAACUGAGAGGGUGACCGGACACAUUGGGACUGAGACACGGCCCAAACUCCUACGGGAGGCAGCAGUGGGGAAUAUUGCACAAUGGGCGAAAGCCUGAUGCAGCGACGCCGCGUGAGCGAAGAAGUAUUUCGGUAUGUAAAGCUCUAUCAGCAGGGAAGAUAAUGACGGUACCUGACGAAGAAGCACCGGCUAAAUACGUG